This is a long non-coding RNA of Notolabrus celidotus (New Zealand spotty), 1097 nucleotides long. RefSeq lists it as uncharacterized. The transcript has 2 exons. The record is from RefSeq and is a predicted model, not a curated record. NCBI's taxonomy places the organism in Eukaryota, Metazoa, Chordata, Actinopteri, Labriformes, Labridae.
UGUUUGUUUCCCGGCUCGCCUCGUGGGACGCCCGCAGACAGACAGCCUUGCCAGAUUCAUUUUCUGAUCAAAGCUGUUUGAUUUGGUCAAUUUUGCCACAUUGGAGACGUUCUCUAUUACUGAGAUAAAUAGCCUCGGGCUAACUGUCAACGAAAACUUGUAAGCUAAUAAAUUAUUCCAAUUUCUUCCAGCUGGAUUUCUCUUGGGAGUCGGCCUCUAGGAAAUACACUUUUUGAUUAGUACAUUUCUGCGUGUGUGUGUUUGGGAGCGCAUGUGUGUGCGCCUGGACAUUGGGAUAUGUCGUUUCUGAUUAGCGGGCGGGCUGCCGGAGUGGAAGGCGGCAGAGGGGGCUGUCAGUAGAAGGAGGCCUCUAAUGCAUUAUGCAUCGACAGACUUUGGAUGCUGCCACCUUCGCUGGCACACCGGGGAGAGGAGGCAGAGCCGGUUCACCUGAGGGGCCUUCGUCCUCCUCCUCCUCCUCGAUGGACUCCUGGGAGGAGGAGGAAACUUUGACAGAAGCCAGUUGUCUCUGACUGCUGCCCCCAGUGCAGGGAGCGGCUGCUGCAGCAUUCAGGGGGAAGGUCAUCUUUGGACACGGACAUCUAUUCUCCCCCUCUAAUACCAGACACAGGCAUUUAUAACUGUCUUGCUGGUGACCCGUUAGCGGAUUAUGGAUGUCCCCCUCGGGCAGUGAUUUGUUUAAUCCGUGGAAAUGGUCCUGGUGCUAUGUAAACAAGCCAAGUGCGGAAUGAAGGUGGCCACCCGAGCGUAGCGGGGAGGCCCUAUUUGUCAGGGAGCCUUCAUAAAACACGGGGACGCUGUGUCGGAGAAGUGAUGUCUUCAUUUCACACAGAGGGCAAAAAGGCUAAAAGACUAUUCCAGAGAUUUUCACCAGCAGAGGGAUUUUUUUUUUUAUCAUUUAUAAGAGCUGCUGCAGAGAAAUUAAGCUACUCGCAGUCCUGGAAGCGGUUUGGAGUUAAUUUCCUGGUUCGAACAUUUCUACAUUACGUUAAGUAGAAAACAAUCGCAGAGCAAAUUGGAUGAUUCUCUAUUUGUGUUUUCUAAAUAGUGAAUAAAUUGAGUUUAUUAGCAUUCCA